Non-coding RNA from Irpex rosettiformis, 110 nucleotides. The record is from the annotation of a GenBank genome assembly. NCBI's taxonomy places the organism in Eukaryota, Fungi, Basidiomycota, Agaricomycetes, Polyporales, Irpicaceae.
GGCUCAAUGGUCUAGUAGUAUGAUUCCUGCUUCGGGUUUUCAACGCCCGCAUGGGAUCUUCCCACGCCACAACCUGCAGGAGGUCUCGGGUUCAAUUCCCGAUUGAGCCC